Ictidomys tridecemlineatus (thirteen-lined ground squirrel) is the source of this 72-nucleotide non-coding RNA. The record is from Rfam. Lineage: Eukaryota; Metazoa; Chordata; Mammalia; Rodentia; Sciuridae.
UGGGUUGUGGCUCAGAAGUAGAGCACUUGCCUCACACAUGUGAGGCCCUGGGUUCAAUCCUCAGCACCACAU